AACGAACGCUGGCGGCAUGCCUAACACAUGCAAGUCGAACGGGAUCCUAGCUUGCUAGGUGAGAGUGGCGGACGGGUGAGUAACACGUGGGAAUCUGCCUUUUGGUUCGGGAUAACCGCGGGAAACUGCGGCUAUACCGAAUGCCCUCGAGAGAGGAAAGAUUUAUCGCCAGAAGAGGAGCCCGCGUCCGAUUAGGUAGUUGGUGGGGUAAAGGCCUACAAGCCGACGAUCGGUAGCUGGUCUGAGAGGAUGAUCAGCCACACUGGGACUGAGAUACGGCCCAGACUCCUACGGGAGGCAGCAGUGGGGAAUAUUGGACAAGUGGGGCAACCCUGAUCCAGCAAUGCCGCGUGAGUGAUGAA
RNAcentral lists this ribosomal RNA (362 nucleotides) under uncultured bacterium. RNAcentral describes it as "bacterial SSU rRNA". It matches the Rfam family "Bacterial small subunit ribosomal RNA", at positions 29 to 412 of the family's 1533-position model. The record is from RNAcentral.